Molecule: long non-coding RNA, 325 nt
Filed under: Elaeis guineensis (African oil palm)
Lineage: Eukaryota; Viridiplantae; Streptophyta; Magnoliopsida; Arecales; Arecaceae
Description: long non-coding RNA (EGUI_LNC023673)
Source: RNAcentral
CGCUAAUAAGUUUAAUAAAUAUUUUUUUUGUAACGGUUUUUUUUGUCGUGAUUGGUUGUUGGUAAAAACUGUUAUUAAGAACGGCUAUGUUGCCGUCGCUAAUAGCCGCCAGUAAAAAGCUUAUUAGUGAUGAAAACAUUACCGUCGAUAACACUGUCGUUAAUACUUGCCAUUAGUGAUGGCAAAAAUACUAUCAUUAAUAACUUAAUUUCUUGUAGUGUUUCAAUGGUACAUGAGAAAGUGGGUAUAGGCUUAAGCAAAAGCUACAACAGCAUGUUCAUGAUCUCAGCUUUGUAUCCAAAUGGAACACAUGUAGUUAAUUCGU